GAGCUGGGCUCCUUUGAAGUUAGCGGCGGACGGGUGAGUAACACGUGGGUAACCUACCUAUAAGACUGGAAUAACUUCGGGAAACCGGAGCUAAUGCCGGAUAACAUAUAGAACCGCAUGGUUCUAUAGUGAAAGAUGGUUUUGCUAUCACUUAUAGAUGGACCCGCGCCGUAUUAGCUAGUUGGUAAGGUAAUGGCUUACCAAGGCGACGAUACGUAGCCGACCUGAGAGGGUGAUCGGCCACACUGGAACUGAGACACGGUCCAGACUCCUACGGGAGGCAGCAGUAGGGAAUCUUCCGCAAUGGGCGAAAGCCUGACGGAGCAACGCCGCGUGAGUGAUGAAGGUUUUCGGAUCGUAAAACUCUGUUAUUAGGGAAGAACAAAUGCGUAAGUAACUGUGCGCAUCUUGACGGUACCUAAUCAGAAAGCCACGGCUAACUACGUGCCAGCAGCCGCGGUAAUACGUAGGUGGCAAGCGUUAUCCGGAAUUAUUGGGCGUAAAGCGCGCGUAGGCGGUUUCUUAAGUCUGAUGUGAAAGCCCACGGCUCAACCGUGGAGGGUCAUUGGAAACUGGGAAACUUGAGUGCAGAAGAGGAAAGUGGAAUUCCAUGUGUAGCGGUGAAAUGCGCAGAGAUAUGGAGGAACACCAGUGGCGAAGGCGACUUUCUGGUCUGUAACUGACGCUGAUGUGCGAAAGCGUGGGGAUCAAACAGGAUUAGAUACCCUGGUAGUCCACGCCGUAAACGAUGAGUGCUAAGUGUUAGGGGGUUUCCGCCCCUUAGUGCUGCAGCUAACGCAUUAAGCACUCCGCCUGGGGAGUACGACCGCAAGGUUGAAACUCAAAGGAAUUGACGGGGACCCGCACAAGCGGUGGAGCUGUGGUUAAUUCGAAGCACGCGAAAAACCUUACCAAUCUUGA
Molecule: ribosomal RNA, 921 nt
Filed under: Staphylococcus sp.
Lineage: Bacteria; Bacillati; Bacillota; Bacilli; Caryophanales; Staphylococcaceae
Description: bacterial SSU rRNA
Rfam family: Bacterial small subunit ribosomal RNA
Source: RNAcentral